RNAcentral lists this ribosomal RNA (532 nucleotides) under uncultured bacterium. Its description in RNAcentral is "bacterial SSU rRNA". It matches the Rfam family "Bacterial small subunit ribosomal RNA", at positions 976 to 1509 of the family's 1533-position model. The record is from RNAcentral.
CGGCCUUGACAUACUAAGAACUUUCCAGAGAUGGAUUGGUGCCUUCGGGAACUUAGAUACAGGUGCUGCAUGGCUGUCGUCAGCUCGUGUCGUGAGAUGUUGGGUUAAGUCCCGNAACGAGCGCAACCUUUUCCUAUUUGCCAGCGGGUCAUGCCGGGAACUUUAAGGAUACUGCCAGUGACAAACUGGAGGAAGGCGGGGACGACGUCAAGUCAUCAUGGCCCUUACGGCCAGGGCUACACACGUGCUACAAUGGUCGGUACAAAGGGUUGCUACCUCGCGAGAGGAUGCUAAUCUCAAAAAGCCGAUCGUAGUCCGGAUCGCAGUCUGCAACUCGACUGCGUGAAGUCGGAAUCGCUAGUAAUCGCGGAUCAGAAUGCCGCGGUGAAUACGUUCCCGGGCCUUGUACACACCGCCCGUCACACCAUGGGAGUUUGUUGCACCAGAAGUAGGUAGUCUAACCGCAAGGAGGACGCUUACCACGGUGUGGCCGAUGACUGGGGUGAAGUCGUAACAAGGUAGGCGUAGAUGA